This 83-nucleotide ribosomal RNA is filed under the name Bacteroidales bacterium. Lineage: Bacteria; Pseudomonadati; Bacteroidota; Bacteroidia; Bacteroidales. The record is from RNAcentral.
CUCUUCCCAUUCCGAACAGAGAAGUUAAGCCCGAUUGCGCCGAUGGUACUGCCCACUGGUGGGAGAGUAGGUCGACGCCAACU